GGUAGUGUUGUUUAGUGGUAGAGGACAUGCUUGGCAUGCAUGAGGACUUGGGUUCUACCCCCAGCACCGACA
Molecule: transfer RNA, 72 nt
Filed under: Fukomys damarensis (Damara mole-rat)
Lineage: Eukaryota; Metazoa; Chordata; Mammalia; Rodentia; Bathyergidae
Rfam family: tRNA
About the family: Transfer RNA (tRNA) molecules are approximately 80 nucleotides in length. Their secondary structure includes four short double-helical elements and three loops (D, anti-codon, and T loops). Further hydrogen bonds mediate the characteristic L-shaped molecular structure. tRNAs have two regions of fundamental functional importance: the anti-codon, which is responsible for specific mRNA codon recognition, and the 3' end, to which the tRNAs corresponding amino acid is attached (by aminoacyl-tRNA synthetases). tRNAs cope with the degeneracy of the genetic code in two manners: having more than one tRNA (with a specific anti-codon) for a particular amino acid; and 'wobble' base-pairing, i.e. permitting non-standard base-pairing at the 3rd anti-codon position.
Source: Rfam by way of RNAcentral